UCCAGAGGUCCCAAGCGUUGUUCGGAUUCACUGGGCGUAAAGGGUGCGUAGGCGGUCGGGUAAGUCUGAUGUGAAAUCUCACAGCUUAACUGUGAAACUGCAUUGGAUACUAUCCGGCUCGAGGAAUGGAGGGGAGACUGGAAUACUUGGUGUAGCAGUGAAAUGCGUAGAUAUCAAGUGGAACACCAGUGGCGAAGGCGAGUCUCUGGACAUCUCCUGACGCUGAGGCACGAAAGCCAGGGGAGCAAACGGG
This 253-nucleotide ribosomal RNA is filed under the name uncultured bacterium. RNAcentral describes it as "partial 16S ribosomal RNA". It matches the Rfam family "Bacterial small subunit ribosomal RNA", at positions 524 to 776 of the family's 1533-position model. The record is from RNAcentral.